AACGAACGCUGGCGGCGUGCCUAACACAUGCAAGUCGAACGAGAAUCCGGGCUUCGGCCCGGUAGUAAAGUGGCGCACGGGUGAGUAACACGUGGGUAACGUACACCGUAGUGGGGGAUAACCAGGUGAAAGCUUGGCUAAUACCGCAUGAGUCGGUCGGUUCGCGAGGACUGACCGGGAAAGUGGAGCAAUCCACGCUACGGGAUCGGCCCGCGGCCCAUUAGCUAGUUGGCGGGGUAAAGGCCCACCAAGGCGACGAUGGGUAGCUGGUCUGAGAGGAUGAUCAGCCACACUGGAACUGAGACACGGUCCAGACUCCUACGGGAGGCAGCAGUGGGGGAAAUUUUUUGGCGCAAUGGGCGAAAAGCCUGACGCAGCAACGCCGCGUGUGU
This 392-nucleotide ribosomal RNA is filed under the name uncultured bacterium. RNAcentral's name for it is "bacterial SSU rRNA". It matches the Rfam family "Bacterial small subunit ribosomal RNA", at positions 29 to 406 of the family's 1533-position model. The record is from RNAcentral.